Symphalangus syndactylus (siamang) is the source of this 10724-nucleotide long non-coding RNA. RefSeq lists it as uncharacterized. The record is from RefSeq and is a predicted model, not a curated record. NCBI's taxonomy places the organism in Eukaryota, Metazoa, Chordata, Mammalia, Primates, Hylobatidae.
AGUGUGGCAUGGACAGAGAAUCUGUGUGCAUGGGAAAAAGAGAGCACAGCAAUUGUGAGACAUUGCAUUGAAAUCAGUGCUACCCUGUCACAGCAGAAGGCAAAACUGAGUUGAACUCAGGUGAUGCCCACCCAUGGAGGGAGCAGUUAAAUCAGGCAUAGCGAAAGGAGAAUUGCCCAUCUCAGCAGUCAGAACUUGAGCUCUGGCAAGCCUUGCUACCAUGGACUAACAUGCUCUGGGGCUCUACAGAAAUUUGAAAGACAGUCUAGGCCUCAAGGACUGCAAAUCCUAGGUGAGUCUUACUGCUGAACAGGGCUCAGAGCCAGUGGACUUGGGAGGCACAUGACCUGAGACAUCAGCCAGGGUGACUAAGGAAGUACUUGCACCACCCCUCCCCCAACCCCAGGCUAAAAGGCUCUGGGCUCCAAAAGAGACCUAUUCUUUUCACUUGAGGAGAAGAAAGGGAAGAGUAAAGAUAUCUAAGAUGUUUUGCAUCGUGGAUACCAGCUCAGCAACAAUAGCAGAGGGCACCAGUUAGAGUCAUGAGGCCCCUUUCCAGACACUAGCUUCCAGAUGACAUAUCUAGACACACCCUGGGCCAGGAGGGAACCUUCUGCCUUGAAGGGAAGGAUCCAGUCCUUUCAGGACCCAUCACCUGCUGAUAAAGAGCCCUUGGCCCCUGAAUAAUCAGCAGCAAUUCCCAAGUAGUACACCAAGGGCCUUGAGUGAGACUCUGAGACUUGCUGGCUUCAGGUGAGACUUAAUACAUUCCCAGCUGUGAUGACUAUUGGAAAAGACUCUUUCUGCUUGAGAAAAAGUGGAAGGAACAGUAAACAGGGCUUUGUUUCGCACCAUAGGUACUAGCUGAGCCACAAGGGCAUAGACCACCAAGCAGGCUCUUAGGGUCCCUAAUUAUAGGCCUUGGCUUUUGGAUGGCAUUUCUGGACCUGCCCUGGGUAAGAACAGAGACAAAGUCCCUUGAAGGAUAAGUCUGAGGCCAGGCAGCAAUCACCACAAGCUGAAUAAAGAGCGCUUGGACCUUAAGGUAACAGUGUUCCCCAUGGGCCUUAGAUGGUGGUGACCACAGGGUGAGGCUCCUCUGCCUAUGGAAAGGAGGGGGAAGAGUGUUAAAAACUGCAUCUUGUGGUUUGAGUGUCAGCUCAGCUGCAGCACAAUAGAACAUCCGGUUGACUUCUAAGUUUUUUUAAUCCAUUCUCUGGCUCCUGGAUGGCACCUCUCUCUGAACUGGCCCAGGGACUGGGGGAGUUCACUACCUUCUAGGGAAGGAUGCAAGCCUGGCAGGCUUUGCUACCUGCUGACUAUAGAGUUCCAGGGCCUGAGAAAACAUAGAUAGUAGCCCAGCAGUGGUUACAGAGGUGAGACACAGUGCUGUGCUGUCUUCAGGUCUGACCCAGCUACUGAUGGUGGCCACUGAGAUAAUUGUGUCGCCCAAUGCCCAGCUCUAGACAGGUUAGAAUAUAGAGAGAGACUAUUAGCUUGUAAGAAAGUGAGAGAAGAAAAUAAGAAUCUCUGCCUUGUAAUCCAGAUAAUUCUUCUGGAUAUUAUCCAAGAUGAUCAAGGCGGUACCUCUAUGUGUCUGCAAGAAACACAGUGUUACUGGGAUUGGGGUGCCCCUUAAUGCAAAUACAGCUUAGAUCACAAGAUCACAGCACUCAGGUUCUUUCACAUAUCUGGAAUGCCUGCCCAAGAAGGAUGGGCAGAAAGAAGCCCAAACUGCAUAAACUACAAUAAAUGCUUAACUCUUCAAUGCUCAGAUGACAACGAACAUGCAGAAACAUCAGGACCACUUAGGAAAUCAUGACCUCACCAAAUGAACCAAGGGUCAAGGGAGAGGCACCAGGGACCAAUUCUGGAGAAACAGAGAUAUAUGAUCUUUCAGGCAGAUAAUUCAAAAUAGCUCUUUUGAGAAAACUCAAAGACAUUCAAGAUAACACAGAGAAGGAAUUCAGAAUUUUAUCAGAUAAAUUUAACAAACAGAUUGAAAUAAUUGAAAAGAAACAAGCAGAAAUUCUGGAGCUGAAAAAUACAAUUGGCAUAUCAAAGAAUACAUCAGAGUCUUUUAGUAACAGAAUUGAUCAAGCAGAAGAAAAAAUUAAUGAGCUUGAAGACAGGCUAUUUGAAAAUACACGGAGCAGAAAAAAAUAAUAAAAUACAAUAAAGCAUGCCCAUAGAUCUAGAAAAUAGCCCCAAAAGGGCAAUUCUAAAGGUUAUUGUCCUUAAAGAGAAGGCAGAGAAAGAGAUAAGAAUAGAAAAUUUAUUCAAAGAGAUAAUAAAAGAACUUUCCAAACAUAGAGGAAGUUAUCAACAUUCAAGUACAAGAAAGUUAUAGAAAACCAGGCAGAUUUAACACAAAGAAGAUAACCUCAAGUCAUUUAAUAAUUAAACUCUCAAAUACCAAGGAUAAAGAGAGGAUCCUAAAAGCAGUGAGAGAAAAUAAAUAAAUAACAUACAACAAAUCUCCAACAUGUCGGGCAGCAGAUUUUCUGUGGAAACCAUACAUGCUAGGAGAGAGUAGCAUGAUAUAAUUAACAUGCUGAAGGAAAAAAAAAAAAAAAACUUUAACCCUAGAAUAGUAAAUCUAGGAAACAUAUCCUUCAAACAGGCAGGAGAAAUAAAUACUUUCUGAGACAAACAAAAGCUGAGGGAUUUCAUCAAUGUCGGACCUGUCUUAUAAGAAAUGCUAAAGAGAACAUUUCAAUCAGAAAGAAAAGGCUGUGAAUGAGCAAUAAGAAAUCAUCUGCAGAUACAAAACUCACUGGUAAUAGUAAAUGCACAGGAAAACAUAGAAUAUUAUAACAUCAUAAUUGUGGUGUAUAGACUACUCUUAAGAAGAGAGACUAAAUGAUGAACCAAUCAAAAAUAAUAACUACAAUGACUUUUCAUGAUAUACACAGGCUGGGCAUGGUGACUCAAGCCUGUAAUCCCAGGACUUUGGGAGGCUAAGGCAGGCAGAUUGCUUGAGGUCAGGAGUUCAAGACCAGCCUGGCCAACAUAGCGAAACAUCAUCUCUACUAAAAGUACAAAAAUUAACUGGGAGUAGUGAUGUGCACAUGUAAUCCCAGCUACUCUACUCCAGAGACUUAGGCAGGAGAAUUGCUUGAAACUGGGAGGCAGAGGUUGCAAUGAGCCGAGAUCACACCACUGCACUCCAGCCUGGGCAACAGAGUGAAACUGUCUCAAACACACACACAUACAAUUCCAAUGCUCUGUUGCCUACAAGAAACACACUUCAGGCCAGGUGCAGUGGCUCAUGCCUGUAAUCCCAGCAAUUUGGGAGGCUAAGAUGGGUGAAUCUCUUCAGGUCAGGAGUUCAAGACCAGCCUGGACAAUAUGGUGAAACCCAUCUCUACUAAAAGUAAAAGAAUUAUCUGGGCGUGGUGGCACACACCUGUAAUCCGAACUACUCAGGAGGCUGAGGGAGGAGAAUCUCUUGAACCUAGGAGGCAGAGGUUUCAGUGAUCUGAGAUUUCGCCACAGCACUCCAGCCUGUGCUGCACAGCAAGAGUUUGUCCCCUCACCCCCCCCAAAAAAAAGAAAGGAGAAAAGAAGAAAAAAAAAGUACACUUCACCUGUAAAGAUACACAUAGACAGAAAAUAAAGGGAUGAAAAAUAAUACCCCAUGCCAUGCCAAUGGAAACCACAAAAGAGCAGGAGUAGCUAGACAGAAUAAAUUUCAAGAUAAAAACUAUAAAAAGAGAAAAGGUCACUCUAUAAUGAUAAAGGUGUCGAUUCAGUAAGGGCAUAUAACAAUUGUAAGUAUAUAUUUACUCAACACUGGAAAACUCAGAUAUAUAAAGAAAAUACUAUUAGAGCUAAAGAGAGAAAGAUCCCAAUACAAUAAUAGCUGGAGACUUAACACCACACUUUGAGCAUUAGACAGAUCUUCCAUACAGAAGACACAAGAAGAAAUAUUGUAUUUAAUCUACACUAUAGAACCGAUAAAACUAAUAAGUAUUUACACAACAUUUCAUUCAAUGGUUGCAGAAUAUACACUGUUCUCCUCAGCAGAUAAAUUAUUCUCAAGGAUAAACCUUAUGUUAGCUCACAAAGAAAGUCUUAAAAUAUUCAAAAAAUACUGUAAUAAAGUUAAGCAUCUUCUCUGACCACAAUGUAAUAAAACUAGAAAUCAUUAAUAAAAUGAAUUUUGAAAACUAUUCAAACACAUGGAAAUUAAACAAAAUAUACCUGAAUAACCAGUGAGUCCAUGAAAAAAUAGAAAAUAAAAUUUAAAAUUUUCUUGAAACAAGUGAUAAUGGAAACACAACAUACCAAAACCUAUGGGAUACAGUAAAAGCAUUACUAAGAGGUAAGUUUGUAGCUAUAAGGACCUACAUCAAAAAACAAGAAAGUCUUCAAGUAAAUAACCCAAUGAUGCAUCUUGAAGAACUGGAAAAGCAAGUGCAAACCAAAUCGAAAAUUAGUAGAAGAAAAGAAAUAGUAAAGAUCAAAGCAGAAAUAAAUGAAUUAGAAAUGAAGAAAAUAAUGUAAAAGAUGAAUAAAACAUAAAGUUGUGUUUUGAAAAGUUAAACAAAUUAGACAAACUGUUAGCCAGACUAAGAAAAAAAGAGAGAAGCUCAAAAAUAAAUAAAAUCAGAGAUGAACAAGGAGACAUUACAACAAUACUGCAGAAACUCAAAGGAUCAUUAGUGACUACUGUGAGAAACUGUAUGCAAAUAAAUUGGAAAAUCUAGAAAUGGACAAACUCCUAGACACAAACAACCUAAACUUGAACCAUGACGAUAUCCAAAACCUGAACAGAUAAAUAACAACUAACGGGCUUAAGCCACAGUCGAAAGUCACUCAGUAAAGAAAAGCUCAGGAUCUGAUGGCUUCGCUGCUUACUUCUAUCAAAUAAUUAAUGAUGAUCUAAUAUCAUUUUACUCAAACUAUUCUGAAAAAUAGAGAAGGGAAUACUUCCAAUCCUGUUCUAUUCUGUGAGACCAGUAUUAUCCUGAUACCAAAACCAGACAAAGAGACAUCAGAAAAAACUAUGGCCCAAUGUCUCUGAUAAAUAUUGAUGCAAAAAUUCUCAACAAAAUACUAGCAAACCAAAUUCAACAACACAUUAGAAAGAUCAUUCAUCAUGACCAACUGGGAUUUAUCCUAGGGGUGCAAGGAUGCUUCAACAUACACAAAUUAAUUAAUGUGAUAUGUCAUGUCAACAAAAUAAAGAACAAAAACUAUAUGAUCAUUUCAAUUAAUGCUGAAAAAGCAUUUGAUAAAAUUCAACAUCCCUUUAUGAUAAAAAGCCUUAGAAAUCUGGAUAUAGAAAGAUUAUACCUCAACAAAAUGAAGGCAGUGUACAACAGACUCACAGCUAGUAUUAAACUAAAUGAGGGAAAACCAAAACCCUUUCCUCCAAGAUUGAGAACACAACAAGGAUGCCCACUUUCACAAGUUUUAUUCAACACAGUUCUGUAAGUCCUCCUAGAGCAAUUAGACAAGAGAGACAUAAAGGGCAUCCAAAUUGGAAAGAAAGAAGCCAAAUUAUCCUUGUUUGCACGUAAUCUGAUUUUAUAUUUGGAAAAACCUAAAGACUCCACCAAAAAACUAUUUGAACUGAUAAACAAAUUCAGUAAAGUUGCAGGAAAGGAAAUCAACAUAGAAAAAUCAGUAGCAUUUUAUAUGCCAAUAGUGAACAAUCUGAAAAAGAAAUCAAGAAAGUAAUUCAAUUUACCUUAGUUACAAAUUAAAUUAAAUACCUAGGUAUUAACUUAGCCAAAGAAGUGAAAGAUCUCUACAAUAAAAACUAUAAAACACUGGUGCAAGAAAUUAAAGAGGACACUAAAAAAUGGAAAGGCAUUUUAUGUUCAUGGAUUGGAAGAAUCAAUGUGAAAAUCUCUAUACUACCCAAAACAAUCUACAGAUUCAAUGCAAUCCCUAUCAAAAUGCCAAUGACAUUCUUCACAGAGAUAGAAAAAACAAUGCUAAAAUUCAUAUGGAAACAAAAGAUACCCAGAAUAACUAAAGCUAUCAUAAGCAAAAGAAAACAAAACAAAAAAGAGAACUUGAGGAAUCACAUUACCUGAGUUCAAAUUAUGCUAUAGAGCUAUAGUAACAAAAAUGGCAUGGUACUGGUAUAAAAGCAGAUAUGUAAAUCAGUGGAACAGAAUAAAGAACCCAGAGAUAAAUCCAUAUGUCCACAGCACAGUGAACCCAUUUUUGGUGAAGGUGCCAAGAACAUACACUGGGAAAAGGACAGUCUUCAAUAAAUGAUGCUGGAAAACUGGAUAUCCAUAUACAGAAAAAUGAAAGCACAAUCCUAUCUCUCACCUUAUACAAAAAUCAACUCAAAAUGGAUUAAAGACUUAAAUCUAAGACCUCAAACAAUGAAACUACUACAAGAAAACUGUGUUGAAACUCUCUUGAACAUUGGACUGGCAAAGAUUUCUUGAGUAAUACCUAACUAACACAGACAACCAUAGCAAAAAUGGACCACAUCAGGUUGAAAUACCUAACCAACACAGAUAAUCCAUAGCAAAAAUGGACCACAUCAGGUUGCAAAACUUCUGCACAGGAAAGGAAACAAUCAAUGAAGUGAAAAGAUACCCACAGAACCAAGGAAAAUAUUUGCAAACUACUCACUUACUAUAUGUCAGACUACCUCCAUUUUAAUUUUCUGGAGGCAAUUCUUCCUCUACAUGGAAAAACAAUAGUCAGGGAAAAGUCAUACAAGCAAAUGCAAAGCGCAUACAGUCAUAAUUUGUUGAUUCCCUUUUUUUGGUAUGCCCAUGAAAAAAAAUUAUACAGGAAGUAGGAUUAUGCAGGAUUUAUUUAAAUAAUACCUGACGCAUUUUCUUUGGAUGUGAGCUAAAUGGCAGAAGCGUGUGAAUAUAAGUACGCUUUGACUAGCAGGUGAGAACGGAGACAUUAAUGAGAAUGAUGAGACAUUUUUGAUAGAUGAUGUGGUAUUCUCAGAGCUGAGAUGUUGUAGGGAGAUAAAAAAAAAAUACCUCCAUAUUUUCCAAAUUAUACAACCCUUUCAUGACGAUCAAUUUAUUUCACACAUACUCUGUUAAUUGGACAUGGUUAUUUCUCCUAUUCUAGAAUAAAUAUAAAAUCGCAAAAAUUUAAGUGACAUCCUAAAAACUCAGAGACCUGCUGGUGACGGCAUUAGGAUCUGAAUGGUAGGGAGUCUCUCUGAGAGAUUACUACUUCAUGCCAGUCAAGUGAUGAUGACUAAGAGAACAAAUGACUUUCAUCUGGAAGGCUUGUGAGGGGUGAAAAUUUAUGAGCUUCACUUUACGGAGAACGCCAUCAACUUUCCAGACAGGAAAAGGCUGGCAGACAACAUGUUUCUUUCAAUCAGCUUUAUGUUCACCAUUUCCAACAAAAGGCCCUAGGAUCAAUCAUGCUGUCUCUAGUGGUUAUAUUUCUUCUAUUUUGGUCAACUACUCAAGAGAAUGAUUUGGAAGGAAAAUUAUUGACUGUGACUUUCUUACCUGAGAACAUGGCCAGGAGAAUGAAGAGAAAGAAAAUGAAAGCCCUCAUGGUACCGUCAGUUGUUUCAGACUUGACUGUUGGGUGGAGUUAAGCCUAACUCUGCACUAGAUGCUCUUCAAAUAAACCAUGCUCACCACCACCAUGUUAUAUAUUGGAAAAAUUCUUCUCCCUAACUGCCAAACACUGUCACAGUCUUUAGUAAAUUACAGAGUAAUUUUCACAAACUGGAAAGUAUUGCUUCUUGAAUGAACUGUCAUUUUCAAAAUUAGCUCCAUGCCCCAACUUCCAUAAAUAUUCAAACUUUAAUAUGUGUCUAUUAGGUAUCUUCCUCCCAGAAGAAAAUUAAAAUGAUGAAACCCAUCUGGGAAAGUGGUAAAUUCAGUGUUCACUUUUUUAUUGUUAAGGGAUGGCUUAUCUUCAGUUAGUAUUAUUAUUUGUUCUCCAAGUUUAUGUGGCCAUGAGAGAAACUUUCAAGUGAUUUAUGUGUCAAUUAUUUACCUCAAAUUAUCUUUUAAAAGCAAGUAAAAAUGCAUUGAAUAUUGGUCAUUAGCAGUAAUGAAUGCAGACAGUAUUCAUCAAGAUGAAUGGUGACAAGAAAUGCAUUUUUAUGAGUUAACAGGAGACAGUAGAGCCCAUGUUUAAGAAAUAACAUUACACAAUUGGCAUUGUUGCUUCAAGUUAUUACGUCAAACAGCAGCUCAUGGGAAAAUCACCUUGGGAUUUUUAGUUCGUCAUAAGCUCAAUGUUAUUAGACAUUGGAAUAUUCAAGAUUGGUUUCUCUAAAUAAGAGAAACUUGAAUCAGUUGGAGCAUGUCCAAAAGAUAACUUUGAUAAUGUGAGGUCUGGAGACCAUAAAGCGUGAAAUAGAUUUAUGGCAGUAGAAAAUGUAAGCUCAGAAAAGCACAAACUCGGGAGUGUUACUGUCAUUGGCUUCAUCUUCUCAAGGGCAUCACUAUGGAGAAGAAAGAUAUUAUUUGAACUUUUUAGUUACAGAGAGCAGAAAUAAUAUAAGGAAGUUCAGGAUAAAUAUCUUAGAGUUCUAAAGAAAAUUUCAACUUUCGGAGGAGAGAUUAACUAGACCAUUUUUCCAAUUACUUCCGAUUCUAAGACUUUCAGAUUUAGUGGUUCUGGAUUGUGUUUGAUUUUCUCUUCAACUUAUUUAGAAGAAGGAGAAGUUUGAAAAUAAUAGAUGAUUUCUUUUAAUCAAACAAGCAAUUUUAUGGCAUCAAAAGAGACCAAGUUUAAGUUUCCUAUAGUAAGAAAGCAACUUUUUCUCCCUGCAUAAUUAUCUUCUAAACUGACUGGAAUUCACGUGAGUAUCAAAGGAAGCUUAUGGAACCAGACAGAGUUGGAUUGUUUAUAUAACACACAGACACACAUACACACACACACACACAUAUAUAUAUAUACUCACACAUAUAUGGAUGGAUUGUUUACAUAUAUAUAUAUACAUACACACAUAUAUAUAAACACACAGCUCAGGUUAAUUUUUCAAAAUUUUUAUUAUGAACUGCUGCAAUAUACAGACAAAAUUAAAGAAUUCUGCAGUGAAAACCCACUAAUAUGGUUUGGCUGUGUCCCUACCCAAAUCUCAUAUUGAAUCUCAUAAUUCCAUGUUGUGGGAGGGACCUAGUGGGAGAUAAUUAAAUCAUGGGGGCAGUUUCUCUCAUACUGUUCUUGUUUAGUGAAUAAUUCUCACAAGAUCUGGUGGUUUUAUAAGGGGAAAUCCCUUUUGCUUGAUUCUCUCUUCUCUUUUCUGCCUCCAUGUAAGACAUUCCUUUUGCCUUCUGCCAUGAUUGUGAGCCCUCCCCAGCCACAUGAAACUGUGAGGCCAUUAAACCUCUUUCUUGGUAAAUUACCCAGUCUCAGGUAUAUCUUUAUAAGCAGCGUGAAAAUGAACUAAUACACCAAUACACACACCAUUAAGAUUAAUCAAUUAACAUUUUGCUAAAUUUCUUCUACUAUAUCUCUAUCAAAAUAGGUAAAUUUUGUAGAAGUUAUUUUCACAUGCAGGUACUCAUUAAUGGAACUCAAUGUAGUAAAUUUCCAAAUAACAAAUGGGUCACAACAGAUGCUUUUGUAUUUUGCCUAAACCAUUGCCUCUUAAACACUCAGUGCUCCCAUCUGUCCUGCCCAUGCUUUUUUCUAACUCCAGUACUGCUGAUAUAACACAAUAGCAAUAUCAAUAAUAAAUGUUGAGUGUCUUGUAGGUCAGGCAGUAAUAAAGUAAACUCUCAUCAAGUUCAUACUCUGAGGUCUUAGAAACUGUCUAUUUGUUGAAGGUGUUCUUGGUUGCAUGGAGUAAGAUUGCGCCGUCUCUCUUUACGUACCUGUUUUCCAAAUCAUUUCAGAAGGCUUUUUGACUAAUUUUUUUAGAUGCUACAGUUAUCUUACCUGAAACAUUAAAUUUUUCUUAUAGUAAUGGAAAUUUUCCCAUCUGUAGAAUUGUCUUCCAUUUUUACUCUCCUUCACAUUUGAGGGUAAGGUCAAAAUUCUGGCUUGGAGCAGGCUCACCACACCUGCAUAUUUAAGAAGGAGGAUAAUGUGUUUCAUAUGUCUUGGAGUGAAAUGUUGGGCCAAGGCUUUUCUUUCAGUUGUCAUUAUACUUGGUGGAAAUAGCAAUAGCAAUGGAGUCAAAUGACCCAAGGUGUCUGUCCUUUUUUAGCUAUGUGUUAUGCAAGUUAAUCUUAAUCUCUCUCUCUCUCUUUCUCUCUCUCUCCUCUUUCUCUAUAUACUUACCUAUCUAAUCAUCUCUUCACUUUGCCUACCCAGGGGGUAAAAAAUAACAAAAGCUUUUCAUAAAAUAGGAGGAUCUCAGCAAAAUUCUAGCAGUUGAAACUCUUUAGACAAUAAUUUAUUGAAGCUGACCUAAGAUGAGAAUUUCUUAUUCAAUAUACAUUUUUUUUUAAAGAUGAAGCUUGUCUGUAAACAUAGUGUUGUUAAUUGUGGUCUACUAAAGGGAACAUAACUCCUAAUCCUGGGACUCCUAGAUUAAGAGGCCUAUUUGACCUAGAGCAGGUCUUCUCAUUUUGACUUGCAACAUUGUUUUUCGAAUUGGAUAAAGCUAUCUCUUCCAUAGCAUUUUAGUGAAAAUUAAAGGAGCUAAUUUAUAAAUAAAAAUUCCUUGUAAAUUAAAAGUGUGAUUUGUAGUCACUAUGAUUAACCAUCUUUAUCAUCAUCAUAAAAAAAAUCAUGUUACAGCUUCAGUCAUUGACUGGUCUGGUCCAGAAUUCCGUAAAACUCACCUGCAAAGAGGAAUA